UACAGAGGGUGCGAGCGUUAAUCGGAAUUACGUGGGCGUAAAGCGCGCGUAGGCGGCUUGCAAGUCGAGUGUGAAAUCCCAGGCUCAACCUGGACUGCAUUCGAGACUGCAAUUAGCUAGAGUAUGGGAGAGGAAGUGGAAUUUCAGGUGUAGCGGUGAAAUGCGUAGAUAUCUGAAGGAACAUCAGUGGCGAAAGCGACUUC
Molecule: ribosomal RNA, 203 nt
Filed under: uncultured bacterium
Lineage: Bacteria
Description: partial 16S ribosomal RNA
Rfam family: Bacterial small subunit ribosomal RNA
Source: RNAcentral